RNAcentral lists this ribosomal RNA (460 nucleotides) under uncultured bacterium. RNAcentral's name for it is "partial 16S ribosomal RNA". It matches the Rfam family "Bacterial small subunit ribosomal RNA", at positions 338 to 795 of the family's 1533-position model. The record is from RNAcentral.
CCUACGGGUGGCAGCAGUGAGGAAUAUUGGUCAAUGGCCGGAAGGCUGAACCAGCCAAGCCGCGUGAAGGACGAAGGUGCCAAGCAUUGUAAACUUCUUUUGUCAAGGGACAAAAUCAGGCUCGAGAGCCUGACCGAGGGUACUUGAAGAAAAAGCAUCGGCUAACUCCGUGCCAGCAGCCGCGGUAAUACGGAGGGCGCGAGCGUUAAUCGGAAUUACUGGGCGUAAAGCGCGCGUAGGCUGUUGUGUAAGUUGGGGGUGCAAUCCCACGGCUCAACCGUGGAACAGCCCUUGAUACUGCGCGACUUGAAUCCGGGAGAGGGUGGCGGAAUUCCAGGUGUAGGAGUGAAAUCCGUAGAUAUCUGGAGGAACAUCAGUGGCGAAGGCGGCCACCUGGACCGGUAUUGACGCUGAGGCGCGAAAGCGUGGGGAGCAAACAGGAUUAGAUACCCUGGUAGUC